RNAcentral lists this small RNA (125 nucleotides) under Peptostreptococcus stomatis DSM 17678. RNAcentral's name for it is "STnc490 Hfq binding RNA". It matches the Rfam family "STnc490 Hfq binding RNA". The record is from Rfam by way of RNAcentral. Lineage: Bacteria; Bacillati; Bacillota; Clostridia; Peptostreptococcales; Peptostreptococcaceae.
AACCCCCAGUUAGACUGGUGGUUCCGUUUAGCUUUAGCGAUGAGAAACUAUUAAAAAAAUCCUCCUUUGUAUAUAAUUAAUCUGUGGUCUGGCAACUACAAAUUAAUAUUAAAAGGCACAAAGGA